This is a non-coding RNA of Podarcis lilfordi (Lilford's wall lizard), 18239 nucleotides long. Lineage: Eukaryota; Metazoa; Chordata; Lepidosauria; Squamata; Lacertidae. The record is from the annotation of a GenBank genome assembly.
CUGAGAGUGAAGCACCUGCAGGCAAUAGGUCCUCAGGAGCCAGAGCAGACUCAGCUGGUGCCUGCACCUGAGGAUCCAGCACAGGUGAGGGCCCUUCAGGCUCAUGCCCCAGCCCCGGCUCAGCUGGUUCUGGAGGCGGGGAAUCCUGUGCAAGCUGGGAUCCCUCAGGUUCAGCAUCCGACUCCGAAUCCCAGGCCAUCACAGCAGAUUUGGUGAGAGGUGUAGCCUAGGGAGAAUUCUGACGGCUGGAUAGGAAGUUCACUUAAGUUUACUAUGUGACCACCACAGCCUGCAGUUCCCCACCCAUGCUUAAAAUGUUAGUUGCUUUGGACACAAUAUCUCCUGGGGUUCUUUCUGUCAGUGGCGCAGCUCAGAAGCAUCUUUGGCAAAUGAGUGAAGUAGGGGAAUUUACUCUCUGGAAAGCACCUGGAUCGAGGCUAAGUGCUGAAGCACCUGAAAAGCACCAAAUCCUGGACAGGGACACACUCCACUGCUCCCAAGGAAAAUGACGCUUCUUUCGUAAUCGUUGCCACGGUGGGCUGAACAGAAAAGCCAUCAAGGAAACGGACAAAUGCAUUUUGAACAAACAGGAACCAAAGGGGACGGAACUUCCAAACAUAUUCUAACCUAAGAACAAAUGAUGGAAUGCAAUGUAUCUACAUCUCAAUUUCAUCCCAACGCUGAGCAUGGCUGAUCAGAAAGCACUUUGAAUGGGCCCAUGCGCCGUGAAGAUUCUCCUGCUUCAAUUCACACCACAGGUGCCAGGUGCCCUGGAGGUCUCUCACAUCCCCUCUUCUGCCCAGAGUUAGAAAAGUGGACCAAUAUCUUCCCCUAAAGGUUAAAUGUGAAAUAGCAGUCAUCCUAUACCUAUAGGCUUUGUAGAACACCCAAACUAAUGGUGUAAUAUGAAUAACGUUCUUUACUGGUGCUCUAUCACCGCUCUUAGAAUCAUAGAAUCAUAGAAUCAUAGAGUUGGAAGAGACCACAAGGGCCAUCGAGUCCAACCCCCUGCCAAGCAGGAAACACCAUCAGAGCACUCCUGACAUAUGGUUGUCAAGCCUCUGCUUAAAGACCUCCAAAGAAGGAGACUCCACCACACUCCUUGGCAGCAAAUUCCACUGUCGAACAGCUCUUACUGUCAGGAAGUUCUUCCUAAUGUUUAGGUGGAAUCUUCUUUCUUGUAGUUUGGAUCCAUUGCUCCGUGUCCGCUUCUCUGGAGCAGCAGAAAACAACCUUUCUCCCUCCUCUAUGUGACAUCCUUUUAUAUAUUUGAACAUGGCUAUCAUAUCACCCCUUAACCUCCUCUUCUCCAGGCUAAACAUGCCCAGCUCCCUUAGCCGUUCCUCAUAAGGCAUCGUUUCCAGGCCUUUGACCAUUUUGGUUGCCCUCCUCUGGACAUGUUCCAGUUUGUCAAUGUCCUUCUUGAACUGUGGUGCCCAGAACUGGACACAGUACUCCAGGUGAGGUCUGACCAGAGCAGAAUACAGUGGCACUAUUACUUCCCUUGAUCUAGAUGCUAUACUCCUAUUGAUGCAGCCCAGAAUUGCAUUGGCUUUUUAGCUGCCGCGUCACACUGUUGGCUCAUGUCAAGUUUGUGGUUUAAGGACUUGAGUAAGAAGAAGCUUUUCUAGAAUAUUUUUGGCUGAUGUAGACUCGUUUUUUAAUCUUGGAUAUACGUUUUGUGAUACUGCUCCUAUGUCUUGCCAGUGAUGUCAUCAGGGCAUCAGUAUGAAUCUCGACUCGGUGAUAUUACCAUGUCAUGGAAUUCCUAGAGUGAUUUUCUGCUAUCUUAACUAUGUAGCACAUGAGACCACCGUGAGAGUUAUUCCAUAACGCACAGCACUUUGCCUCCAACGUUGGAAUAAAUUUGCCUCCCAGUAACAGCUGCUUGGAAUCCCCAGUGAAGAGAGUCCCUGUCACUCUCAGGUCCCGCUUGCAAGCAUCCCAUAGUCAUCUGGCUGGCUCUUUGUGAGAACAGCAUGUUGGACUAGAUGGGCCUUUGACCUGAUCCAACAAAUCUCUACUUGUGGUCUUAUAGACCUGCAAACUUUUCAUUUCCCUUUUUGCUUUGGGAGGGAGGGUGGUAUUGAACUGUAAUAGCUAAAUCUCAAGAUGUAUUGAUCUGUGCAUGGAAAAUAGGGGUUUGUGUGCGAACUCAACCUAGAGAAAGGACGGGAGGCAAUCUCAUUCCUGUUCCCUUAAUCUCUAGGAUGCAAAGAUUAUUCAGAUGUGGUGGACUUGUAAAAGGGUAAAGGGGUAUUGGGAAAUGAUCCAUAAUGAAUUGAAAAAAUGUUUAAAAGUGCUUUCCUCCAAUAACCAGAGUCCUUUCUGUGGUGGAUAAUUCAGACUGAAAUUCCCAGGUCUCAAAAAAGGUUAUUUAUGUAUGCCACUACUGCGGCUUGUGCUUUGUUAGCCCCCAAAUGGAAAAUGAGUGAGGUCCCAAACAAAGAAGGAUGGCAAUGUAAGUUGACAGAAUAUGCACAACUCGCAGACUUAACAUAUACAAUAAGAGAACAAGAAGAACAUACAUUUAAAGAAGAUUGGAAAAUGUUCAUUGUCGGGGAACCAGCCCACCAGGUGCGGAGGAAAAUAACGAAGAGUCAUGGGUGAAGGUCUAAGCAAGGAGUGAGCUCUGUCCCCCAGCAGCCUUGCAUGUUUAUUAGCCUUGCGCACAUUACAUCAUGUUGCAUAUACACGUGUAGCACUCGGGUGGAAAACAGCUAGGGUUUGCAUUUCUCAGAAUAACUAUUCUCUACCAGGACAUAACUCCAGACAGCAUGACAGCCUUGCGGUUAGGCAGCGACAGUGACCCAGGCGUGUGGGGGGAACAAGUCAGCAGAUGUUUCCUCUUGCACAAUCUUGCACAAGGGUGCCGUUUUUCUAUUGCACCCCCACAUGCCCUCCUUUUUUAUUAUUUAAUCAGAGUCAUAAAUUUCAUUCCGAGGCAGAAGCUCGCCAGGGUCGCACACAGCGCGCUGGUAACCAGGUGGGCCGUCCAUCCAGGUCCACUGCCGCGUAGCCGCGUCCCCAGGAGAUGAGUGGCACAGGACCAUGCCAUGUUGGAUCAGGUAGCUGUCUGUAAGAUACAAGAGGCCGAGCCAAAGGCUCUGCUUUUCGAAAAUGAAUCUCAGCCGGUGUAUAUUCCCUAUUAUGGGGAUACAAAAGAUGGUUAAGAGUGAAUAAAACAGUAUGCACGAUUGAAGGAAUCUCGGCGGAGGGGGCAUUUCGACCUCCAAGUUGUUUGGACAGCAGUGUCUUGAAGGUCAAGUGCACCCUCUCCACAAUCGCCUGUCCUGUUGAAUUAAAAGGCAAACCAUGGAUUAAUUUCACAUUCCAUAAAUCACAAAAAGGAUGAGAACUGAGAGGAAAUAUAGGCUGGGCCAUUAUCCGUUUUAAUGCUUUGUGGCUUACCCAUCACAGCAAAACAGCGCAGGGUGUGCUGAAUGACGUGACGAGCGGUCUCACCCUUCAAUGGGGUGGCCCAGAUAAAUCCAGAUGAGGUGUCCACUGUCAAGUGAACUUUUGAGAAUGGGGCGAGCAGAGGGGUGUGAGUAACAUCCAUCUGCCAAACCGCAAGAGGGGACGUACCUGUGAUGGCCUGGGAUUCCGAUUCGGAGGAUGAAACAGAGGAAUCCCGGCCUGCACAGGAGUCCCCGCCUCCAGGGCCGGCUGAACUGGGGCAAGGCCUUGAUGCUGAAGAGCCUGCACCUGUGGCAGUGCAUCAGGAGCUGGCCCCAGGUGAAGCCCUUCGGGCCCCAGAGGGGCUUGAUGACUCAGUGGCCACAGGUGAGCCUCCUCCAGGGCCCAGUAACCCUUCGGCCUCUCCUGAUCUGCAGAGGCUUAGGGCAGAGAGGCGAAGGGAACUGGUUGCCCCCAGGAGGAGUGCUCGCCUUAAGGCCAGAGGAGGCGGGGCUCCUGGGGACCGGGACCGCCCCUGGCCUUAGAAGAGGAUAAAAGCCCAGUCAGCCCGGCCCCAGGUUGCGGGAGCAACGUCGUUGUUGGCUCGGACCUUCCUGUGUUCCUGAUCCCUGCUCGGCUUCCUGUUCCUGACUAUCCGGUACUCCUGUUCCCUGCUCGGCCUCCUGUUCCCGACCAUCCGGUGUUCCUGUUCCCUGCACAGCCUCCUGUUCCAGCAUUCCUGUUCCCCGCCCGGCUCUCUGCCUCGGACCUUGCCCCUCUUCGUGUGGACUCUGCUACACCCAAGGUACCUUACCCCGGGACCAGCACAGUUUGCUCCCGCCAAACCCGCACUCCCCCUUCGUAGGGGUGCGUUCGGGAAGAGCCAGAGGCCAUGGCUGACCAGGCGGCUGCACUGGUGGCUUUGGCCCAGAAGAACCAGGCCUUGACUCACACCGUGCAGCAGCUCAGUGACGCGGUUGUGGCACUUCAACAACGCUUGGAAGCCCUACCGGCUCCUGGGGCCGACGCCCGGCUCCUGGCAAGUACCCAGUGGCUUUGCCUGAGAAAUUUGAUGGAGCCCCGGCCAGCUUUCCCAUGUUCCUGGCCCAGGCCAAGCUGUAUAUUCAGGGGCGAGCCCGGAACUUUCCUGACGACCGCACCAAGGUGCACUUUUUGAUUAGUUUGUUAAAGGACCAGGCGGCCAAGUGGGCGUUGCCGCUACUCAGGCAAGACUCCCCCUUGCUGGCAGACUAUACGGGGUUUUGCAAUCGUUUGGAGGCCGCGUUCGGCAACCCCCAGAAAGGGAGUCAAGCCAACCGGGCGAUUCGGCGUUUGAAACAGGGCAAGUCCACGGUGGCCGCAUAUACCACGGAGUUUCGGCUGUUGGCACAGGACUUGACCUGGAAUGAUUCGGCACUGCGGGACCAGUAUCUCGAAGGGCUUUCGGACGAGGUACUGGACCAGUUGGCCACAAUGGAACGCCCCACCACGCUAGACACUCUCAUUCAACGGAGUCUACAAAUAGACGACCGGUUGGAGGAUCGUCGUCAGGCCCGGGGUCGCCGACACUUCCAGUUCACGGCACCAGCUUUUUCCGGCAGCCCCACGGUCACAACUGAUUUAACGGAGGAGCCUAUGCAGCUCGGGGCAGUGCGGCCACGCCUUUCCCCCCGCAGAGAAGGCGCGGCGUCGGGGGGAAAUCUCUGUCUUUACUGUGGCGGAAGUGGACACUUCGCUCGGUCUUGCCCUGAGAAACGCCAGCCGCAGAAGCCGCCAACCCCAGUAGCUGAUGGCCCUAGCUGCCGGGGGUCCCAAACCGCGCAGAAUGGGCCUGCAUCAAUGGACUCGCAACAUCUUAUGGUUCCGGUGCGUUUAUACCCUCCAGGUGGGCCCUGGAUCCCCACCCAUGCUUUGGUGGAUUCAGGGGCAACCCGCUCUUAUAUGGACGCUGCUUUUGCCGCCCAUCAUCAGGUGCCACUUCGGAACAAGCCAGUACCGGUCCAGGUGGAAGCGAUUGACGGACGACUUCUGUGUUCAGGUGCCGUUACUCAGGAGACCCAGCCCCUGGUCCUGUGUUUCCAGCAGCACCGGGAGUUGCGAACUUUGGACAUUGCCUCUAUGCCCCGCUUCCCCCUGGUGCUCGGGAUGGACUGGCUGGAAGCCCACAACGUUCAGAUUCACUGGGUCAAACGGACCGUGCACUUCCCAGACCCAUGUUCCCAUGCUCAAUCCGGGACGCUGGCGGCCGCGCCCUCAGAGGAGGCAGCACCCACGCUCCCAGCCGUGUAUCAGGACUACCAGGACGUGUUCGAGGAACGGGGGCAGACCAGCUGCCGCCGCAUCGGCCUUCUGACUGCGGCAUAGACCUCCAACCCGGAGCGCCUCUACCAGUGAGUCGCUUAUAUUCUCUAACAGAGCCAGAGCGCGAGGCUUUGCAGGACUUCUUGCGCAAGAACCUGGAGCGUGGGUUCAUUAGGCCGUCCACCUCGCCUACCGCGGCACCAGUGCUUUUCGUUAAGAAGAAAUGUGGGGAACUCCGCCCUUGCCAUGAUUACCGAGCCUUGAACAAAAUUACCGUCCCAGACCGAUACCCCUUGCCCCUUAUCUCGGAGCUGCUGGAGCGGGUGCAAGGGGCACAGGUGUUCACCAAGCUGGACCUCCGGGGGGCCUACAACUUGAUUCGGAUCCGAGCCGGGGAUGAGUGGAAGACAGCGUUUGGGACCCGGUACGGGCAGUUCGAAUAUUUGGUUAUGCCUUUCGGGUUGUGCAACGCGCCUGCUGUGUUCCAACGCUACAUCAACCACGUGUUUCAGGACUUGUUAGACAAGUACGUGGUGGUGUAUUUGGAUGACAUACUGAUUUACUCCCGUGACCCGGCUCGCCAUGAGGGACAUGUCCGGACCGUGCUGCAGCGCUUGCGUGAGCACCGUUUGUACGCAAAGCUCAGCAAGUGCGAGUUCCAUCAGCGGACUGUGGACUUCCUUGGUCACCGGCUCUCUCCGGAUGGGGUGCAAAUGGACCCGGGGAAGGUGACAGCGGUUCAAGAAUGGGCGGCACCCCGGAACCGCAAGGACCUACAACGUUUCCUGGGGUUCGCCAAUUACUACCGGACCUUCAUCGCUGAUUAUGCUCAUCGCACCACCCCGUUGACCCGGCUACUGCGCCCAAAGACGCCGUUUUCCUGGGACAAGGAGGCAGAGGAGGCGUUUCAGGGGUUGAAGGCCUGUUUCCAGAGGGCACCAAUCUUACAACAUCCUGACCCCUCUCGACCCUUUGUGGUGGAGACCGACGCCUCCAGUACGGCUCUCGGUGCCGUCUUGUCUCAACAGAUUGGGCCCGAAGCGCCACUCUUACCCUGUGCCUUCUAUUCCCGCCAGCUCCUACCAGCGGAGCGUAACUAUACUGUGUGGGAGCGGGAACUACUGGCCAUCAAGGUAGCCUUUGAGGUCUGGCGCCACCAUCUUGAGGGGCACGACAUCCGGUGGAGGUAAGAACCGACCACCGGAACCUGGAAGUACCUCCAGACCACCCGCAAGCUGAACCAAAGACAGAUCCGGUGGGCGUUGUUCUUUUCCCGGUUCCAGUUUCGGAUCCGCUACAUCCCUAGCUCUCAGAAUCUGAAGGCGGAUGCCCUGUCCCGGAAACCUGAAGACAACGCAGACACGGUACAGCAAGCAGAACCCGCCACGAUCCUACCUCCGGCCGCAUUCCUGGCCACCCAGGAGGCGCAGCCACUGCAGGUUCGGGUGCGGGAACAGCAGCGGGUCGACGCUUGGGCCCAGGACCGACUCCGGGAGCUGGCUGAAGGGUCCAGCCCACAGUAUCCGGGGCUGGUCCUGCAUCAGGGCCUCCUGCUGCACCACGGUCGUCUGUACAUCCCGCCAGGGCCACUGCGGCUGGAGGUUCUCCGGAUGGCCCAUGAUGCCCCGGCAGCGGGGCACUUUGGACGGUAUCGGACCACCCAUCUGGUCAGUCGUGAGUUUUGGUGGCCCCGCCUGAAGGCUGACGUGGCUCGCUACGUUGCUGGUUGUGAUGUCUGCCGACGCGCCAAGGGGCCUACCGGGCGACCCCCGGCCUACUUCAGCCAUUGCCAGUUCCACCGCGCCCUUGGCACACAGUUUCGUUGGACUUUGUAGUGGACUUACCCUCGUCUCGUGGCUGUACCUGCCUUCUGGUUUUCUCCGACCAUUUCACCAAGAUGGUGCACUGCGCUCCCUGUCCAUCUGUACCCACAGCCAAGGAAACUGCUCAGCUGUACCUUCAGCAUGUCUUCCGCCUGCAUGGACUACCUGAGCGCGUGGUGUCCGACCGGGGCGUUCAGUUCACAUCCCGGUUCUGGCGAGCAUUACACCAGACCCUCGGGACAGAGGUCUGCCUCUCGUCAGCCUACCACCCACAGACCGAUGGCCAGGCGGAGCGGGCGAGCGCGGUGCUGGAGCAGUACCUCCGGUGUUACUGCAGCUACCAGCAGGAUGACUGGGUCGACCACCUGGCAUUGGCGGAGUUCGCCUAUAACAACGCGGUGAAUGCGUCCACCCAGCAGACCCCGUUCCAGGCCAGUUAUGGUUAUCAUCCACGGCUGUUUCCAGAGGUGCUGCCGGCAUCCGCGGUCCCGGCGGUGACGGAGUGGCUUCAAGAGCUCCAGUCCCAGCAACAGCUUUUGGUGGAGCAACUGCACCAGGCCAAGGAAGCGUACAAAGCCCAGGCCGACCGCCACCGCCAGGUGGGGCCGGACCUUCGCGUCGGUGACCUGGUUUGGCUCUCCACUCGCCACCUCCACCCCUCUCGACCUUCGCGGAAGUUGGACGCCCGCUUCACCGGCCCGUUCCCUAUCGUAGACCAAAUCUCUCCUGUGGCAUUCCGUCUCCGGUUACCCGCAACCCUGAAGGUUCACCCGGUCUUCCACAGGUCCCUUUUGAGUCCGGUGGCCCCACCCGACGAGUUCCACCAGAACCGUCCCCGACCGCAGCCAGUGUUGGUUCGGGGAGAGCCUGAGUACGAGGUGGAACGCAUCCUGGACUCCCGAUACCGCAGGGAAAGCUGCAGUAUCUCAUUGACUGGAAGGGGUACGGACCGGAGGACCGUUCCUGGGAACCAGCGGCCAAUGUCCAUGCACCUGCCUGCCUCCGAGAGUUCCAUGCGACGUAUCCCGGCAAGCCGGGUCCGGACCCUCGGUUGAGGGGGCCUGGGAGGGGAUGGUGUGAUGGCCUGGGAUUCCGAUUCGGAGGAUGAAACAGAGGAAUCCCGGCCUGCACAGGAGUCCCCGCCUCCAGGGCCGGCUGAACUGGGGCAAGGCCUUGAUGCUGAAGAGCCUGCACCUGUGGCAGUGCAUCAGGAGCUGGCCCCAGGUGAAGCCCUUCGGGCCCCAGAGGGGCUUGAUGACUCAGUGGCCACAGGUGAGCCUCCUCCAGGGCCCAGUAACCCUUCGGCCUCUCCUGAUCUGCAGAGGCUUAGGGCAGAGAGGCGAAGGGAACUGGUUGCCCCCAGGAGGAGUGCUCGCCUUAAGGCCAGAGGAGGCGGGGCUCCUGGGGACCGGGACCGCCCCUGGCCUUAGAAGAGGAUAAAAGCCCAGUCAGCCCGGCCCCAGGUUGCGGGAGCAACGUCGUUGUUGGCUUCGGACCUUCCUGUGUUCCUGAUCCCUGCUCGGCUUCCUGUUCCUGACUAUCCGGUACUCCUGUUCCCUGCUCGGCCUCCUGUUCCCGACCAUCCGGUGUUCCUGUUCCCUGCACAGCCUCCUGUUCCAGCAUUCCUGUUCCCCGCCCGGCUCUCUGCCUCGGACCUUGCCCCUCUUCGUGUGGACUCUGCUACACCCAAGGUACCUUACCCCCGGGACCAGCACAGUACCCCUAGGGUUCACCGCAUCAAAGGGAAUCAUGGUUGGAGCCUUAGAACAGGUAGGACAUUGAGAGACAAUGUCUCGUGCCUGUGCAAUAGGGAUUUUAAACAUCUUUGCCAAAACUUUAGCAGGCUGGUGAAAGGUAGAAUGAGAGAAUAGGGUCAGAAAACAAGGAAAACACUUCAGAUCGCAGUGCAGCGUCUGCCACGGCAUUUCCCUGAGCCAAAAACCCUGGGUGAUUGGUGUGGGAACGAAGGUGUGCAACAUAAAAAGGAUGACGGCGUUCUUGAAUAAUAUACUGCAAGGUAGAAAAAAGAACAAACAAAUCAGCAUCUAAUGCAGGCGUGAUAUAAGAAACAGGCAGGGAAGACAGAAGGCGAUACACAUAUUGUGUAUCAACAAGCAAAUUAAAAGGUUUGUCAGGAAAGAGUUGAAAGGCAAGGAUUACAGCAGCAAGUUCAGCCCGCUGGGCGGACCUCUGCUGCUCAGUAAAUUCAGUUUUCCAUUUUCCACCCUCCUCCCAUGCCACCACCCCCGCGUUUUUGACCCAUCAGUGAAAAGGGUAAGGGCAGAGGGGAUGGGGGUCGGAGAGAGAGCAGUUUUUAAAGUAUAGACAGUUUGAGAAAGAAAAGCCAAGCGUGGAUCAGAGGGGGGAUUAUGCGUGAUGGUUCCCAAAAUCCACAAGUGCUACUUGAGUAGCCACGGAGGUGGAAAUCAGGUGUUGUGUUUCUGUGAGUGAAAAGGCAAGUAAAUUUUUCAACGUCCAGUCCAGAGAGGGCUUUUGCUCGAGCGCGCCCUUUAAUUACCAAAUCCAUUACAGCCGCUGGAGAGGAAUAAAUGUUACGCGGUGGAGUAUGCGGAAGGUGUAUCCAUUCCACAAUGUUGACACUCGAGGGGCAGCCGAUUUCUGUGAGUAGAGAAUGGCUGUAGGCAGCAAAGGUGUGGAAAAAUUGCCAAGGAUAACUGCACAUUGUGCAGAGUGUCUAUGCGAUCCACCAUUCGGUCUCUUAAUAAAGCAUUAACCUGUUGUAAGGCUUGUAGCAUUUCUUCUGUAACUGGGAUGACUUCUCCGGGUAGUUUGUGUCCUUGUAAGGCAGAAAACAAUGGUGACAAGGUGCUAGUAGGCAGAUUAAGGUAAUUCUUAAUCCAAUUCAGGUGUCCCAAAAGUUGUUGAAGGUCAACCAGCCGUAGGCGGGCAGGAAAAGACAAUUGGGGAACAACCGGAAUAGCAGCUUGUUGUGUCAAUUUAUGUCCAAGAUAUAACAUAGGCAAAGUUUGCUGAACCUUAUCUGGGGCAAUACACAGUCCAAAAUCUGUGAGAGCAGAUGUAAGGUCUCUUAAUAAUUCCACUGAUAUGUGCUUCGCAGCCACAAGGAUAUCAAUUGGGUGGAGGCUUUGACAGGCUGGCGUUUCUCCCCCGACACCCAAAACUUGGGCAGGUGCCUUCGUGGGCCAUUCGGGAGGCCAGUCUUGUUUAGCAAUCACAGUAACGUCUGCCCCUGUAUCCAGAACCCCCUCUACCUCACGUCCACCCAGUGUCAUUUUUAAUGUAGGGCGCUGAGCUGUGAGAGGCAUUGCAGCAGCAAUUAAGGGGUAUCUGUAGGAGUUGUGGCAUCCGCAGAGGAGCAGUAUGACUUUAGCCACUGGCGUGCCAGAUGAAAGUCCUAAGAGGGGGGCUGCGUGGUUAAUUGCAGUCCCCCGUGGCGUCGGCGGAGGCUGAUAAUCUGGUGGUCGUGGCGGAGGCCGUGGUGGUGGUAGAAGCUGUGCAGCCGGAUAUAUAAAAGGCAUAUUCAGGACUGUUUUUUUGUUGUGGUUGCAACGAAGCCAAGAGGAUGUUUUUGGGCGUAAGAGUUGCCAUGCAGCCACGGACUUUAGCCCAGGCACUAAGGACGUGAAGAUUUAUGCGGCCAUGGCCAUGAAAGUGGUCGCCAAUGCUGUUCCAUGCUGGAAUUUCCCAUGUCCCGUCCUCAGGGAACCAUGGACAAUGUUCAUCUAUUGCCAGAAUCAAUGCAAUUAGAUCACCUUCAGGUACUUGCUGUUUAUUUUCCCGAAGGAGGUGCUGCAUGUCUUUUAAAAAUUGUUUCUGAGGGUUGGAGAGCGCAGAACCCAUGAUAAAAAUAGAAAAAUAGCUACUCACCGGGGAUCCGAAGAUGAGAGGCGCCUUGAGCCACAGCCGGGCGGGUGAGUAGCAGGGAGGACCGUCUUUGACAGCACGCGUCCUGGAAGCCGUUCAGGCCUCACACGAGGCACCAUUUGUCGGGGAACCAGCCCACCAGGUGCGGAGGAAAAUAACGAAGAGUCAUGGGUGAAGGUCUAAGCAAGGAGUGAGCUCUGUCCCCCAGCAGCCUUGCAUGUUUAUUAGCCUUGCGCACAUUACAUCAUGUUGCAUAUACACGUGUAGCACUCGGGUGGAAAACAGCUAGGGUUUGCAUUUCUCAGAAUAACUAUUCUCUACCAGGACAUAACUCCAGACAGCAUGACAGCCUUGCGGUUAGGCAGCGACAGUGACCCAGGCGUGUGGGGGGAACAAGUCAGCAGAUGUUUCCUCUUGCACAAUCUUGCACAAGGGUGCCGUUUUUCUAUUGCACCCCCACAGUUCAUUGAAUAUAUGGGAAAUUAUCGUGCACAACUGAAAACUCUGGAAACAUUAAGAUAAAUUCAACAGUGUAAACAGCUUUUGAUGGAUGCAAUAAUGGAGUACUGAAUGGUUUAGUUUACCUAAAAUAUGUAGGGAUUUAUGAUAUGUAAAAUGAACCAUGGAAAGAAAAGAAGGGAUGUCAUUGAUAUCUUAAGGAUGUAAAAUGAGUUUUUCAAAUUGUAAAACAGAAAAUUUAAUAAGAAUUAUAUAUAAAAAGAAAUAAAAAAGGAAGAUUAAAGGGAUCAAAUUCAGAUUAAAUGAAUCUAUCUAAUCGUUGGCAACUCCCUGCUGCGAAGGAAGAAGAUUGGGAGUUUUUGUUUUAGCUCCCCGUCAGAUUUUAGCACUGUGCCACAUGCUGCUGAUCCAAGCCCCACAGUAAUAGUCAGCCUCAUCUUCAGCCUGAGUGUUGGUGAUGGUUAAAUAGCCUGUAUUCCCAGAGAGGGAAGCAGUGAAUCGAUCUGGGAUCCCUUCCCCCCUGCUGUCGCUAUUACCAUGCACAUAGCGAGGGGCCUGACCAGGUCUCUGUUCAUACCAGGCAACAUAGGUGCCACUGGGAGUAGUGUUGGCAGUGCAAGGGAGUUUAGAAGUUUGUCCCGGGGACACAGACUCAGAGGCAGGUUGAAUCAGAGUAUGUUGAGAAACCUUAGCAGAAAGAAAGAAAAAUGGCAUUGAUUCAUUUGGUUUGCACUGAAGCAUCAUAAAAGCUGCGUGAUCAAAGUUCCAUAGAGCUGGUUUUAUUGCCCCAGAAAUCUAUGAAGAGGAGCCCUCCACAGCCUUACCUGAGAAAUAGCUGAGAAGUGCAAGGAAGGACAGAGCCCAGGCCAUGCCAAGCUCCGAAGACGAGUUAGGCUUCGUAAAAUAAGCAGAAAACUUGUAGGAACCUUCCUCUCUUAUAUCUGCCCAGUUUAUUCUUAUAUCUGCCUAGGAGCUUGCUAUGUACUGAGUUGAAUAGGAUCCAAAAUGCAGCAGUCUGAUUGGUCCUAGAACAAUGCAGCAGUAUGACUGGCCCGCAGGAGCCACCCAAUCCAGCUCCAGGUGAAAGUGAAUCCACAACCUGAUUGGCCUACAGGAGAAUCCCAGAAUUAGCCAAUCAUGUGCGGCCCAUUGUGUAAAUAAUGUAUAUAAAGCAGAUAUUUUGGGGGAACUUUCAUUCCUCCUCACCACUAUGAGCAGAAUAAAGAGAAUGAAAUCCACUCUCCACUCCAAGUACCGUAUUUUUUGCUCUAUAAGACUCACUUUUUCCCUCCUAAAAAGUAAGGGGAAAUGUGUGUGCGUCUUAUGGAGCGAAUGCAGGCUGCACGGCUAUCCCAGAAGCCAGAACAGCAAGAGAGAUCGCUGCUUUCACUGCGCAGUGAUCCCUCUUGGUGUUCUGGCUUCUGAGAUUCAGAAUAUUUUUUUUCUUGUUUUCCUCCUCCAAAAACUAGGUGGGUCUUGUGGCCUGGUGCGUCUUAUAAAGCGAAAAAUACGGUAUAUUUCAGAACUGAAACCGAAGGGAGUCUUAUACAAAGCUAUAGACGUCCAUUGGGCUUUGUGGGAAAUGCCACUUUUCCUCUGAGGGGGCGGGGCAUUCUAUCCUAGCCAAAGAGCAGAGAAGAUAUUUGCAUGAAGGGGAAUAUAUUUAAAUGAGAGAGAAGGCUUCUAGCUCAGUUCUGGAUGAGGGCAAAAAUCCCACAGCUGUAGCAUCCCUCACCCUCUUCUGUACCGGAAAUGUGGAAGCUUGCCAAACACCUCUUUCCCUGUUCAUGGUACUGAAGGGUUUAGUCAACCACUUCAAAAUUUAGGAAAUAUUUCCUGAGAAAAUAACACAUUAUUUUAGCACACAGAACCAUCCCCAAAAGCCAUCUUGGCUCUUCUAAUUACUCUAAUUACUCUACAGAAGGAGAUAUGUUGGAGAAAACUAUUCCAAUGGUUCUUUCACUCACAAACCCUUUAAAUCCUGUAUUAAAGGCAUAUUUGUGUAUGGAUAGGAUGGGUCUGUGAACUGGAUUUGAGAACCAAAGGAGUUACCAUCUCAAAAGAAGGGCCACACUGCCCAGGUAUUGCAAUCAGUAAUACAUUAUCAGGUAUGUUGGCAGACAGGAAAAAGCCACAACCUCAACUUUCCGCCUCUUUCUGUGAUGUAUGUAUGAUCCUUUUUGGGUGGUUUUUGGCCAAGGAGUUGGGCAAUGUCUUGGUCUCUCUCACCUCCUUGCAAGAGGCUGGGGACCGGGGUGGAGGAAGGGGUGAGUGGUGGAUGCGGACGGCCCCAGGUAUCACCACGGGGGGGGUGUGACAAAAUGCCGGGCAGCACUCACCGCGGGGCCUGCAACAUGCCCAAGCCACGCUUCUCUCCUUGGAGAGAGAGAGAGAGACAGUGGCUUGGGUGCGCACAGGCUCCACACUGCCCAAACGGCCCAGCCACUGCCUCCCCCCCAGCUGUAGGGUGGCGGAGUGGGAGGAGGCAGGCAGACUCUGGAGGCCCCGUGGUGCUAUGGGCAGCUUGCCUUACCCUCGCCCACCGCUAUGGGCGGCUUGCCCCGCCCCUGGGUGUGCUGCCCCAGGCACCGGAGCCUCUUCCUCCACUGCUGCUGUGGACUCUGUUGCAACAGAAAAAACAAAGAUCUGCCUUGCUAUCACUGGAUCCUGACUUAUCCAUUCUCCUCUGACUGAUCAUGGGUGUAGGGGACUCAUAGUCCCUUGGGGAGUUGUGCAGUUGAAAGCCAACCCCCAGGUUCUCUGCAGUAUAUUGCACCUGGCUCUAUUGUUCAAAGAGCUCAAGGCACAGAUCAGAUAGAAUGCUCUGUAGCAUUUCUCAGAGUUCUGCACUGAAAGAAGAAGAGAGGUUUUUGUCUCAGUUCCCCAUCAGAUUUGAUCACUGUGGAACACAGCUGUGUCAAACCGAACCCAGACAGUAAUAUUCAGCCUCAUCUUCAGGCUGGAUGUCAGUGAUUGUUAAAUAGCCACUAUUCCCAGAGACAGAAGCAGUGAACCGAUCUGGAAUCCCUUCACCCCGAUCGUAGCCAUUAAAAUGCACAUAGCGAGGGGCCUGUCCAGGUCUCUGUUGAUACCAGCCAAUAUAGCUCAGACUGCUGGUGUAAGUGCAGGAGAGUUUUGCCGUUUGUCCAGGAGAUGCAGAAUGAGAAGCAGGUUGAAUCAAAGUAAUCUGUGAAAUCACAACUUUAUAAAAAGAAAAAGAAAUGCAUUGUAAAACCUAGAUUGAUUCAUUGUGCUCCCAAAUAUCUGCCAGGCUGUAUGAUAUGUGCACAAUAUAAAUAGUUUUGUGGUUGGCUCAGAAUCCAAUGGAAAAUUGAGUCUUCUAAACUCUUACCUGAGAAACAGCUAAGAAUUGCAAUGAAGGACAGAUCCCAGGCCAUGGUGAGCUCUCAAGAGAAGUUUGACUUUGAAAAGCAAAAUGGUAACUAGUUGGAACCUUUUUUCCUUCUUCCUUAAACCCUGCAAGGAGCUUCAGAUGAAGGAUCUGUCAUAUAAAGUUAUUGACACCCAUUGACUCUGGAGAAAUUCCACUCCUCUCAGCCAAUGAUCAGAGAAGACGUUUGCAUGAGAGAGAUUAUUUAAAAAGAAGAGAUGAGGUGAUCUUGAUGUGGAGGAGGAGCUGGAACCAGGCUGACUACACACACACACACACACACACACACACACACCCCACACACCCCGUCCCAAGAAAAUUAAGCUGGUUUUGCCAAGUCCAUUGCAAUGAGCUCAACACAUCAAGCAAAUGAGCAAAUGGAGUGACAGAUGAAUGAAUCAAAGUGAAUGAAACUAUUCUAAAACAUCAAAUUAUAAAGGAAAUGAGUAUAAUUGAACAGGAAACAGCAGUGAAGAUUCACCUGUUUCAUUUCACAUUGCAGGGGUGGGGGGCUCAGGUGGUCUCUCAGAUCCUCAAAUGCAGUGGUUUUCAAGCAGUGUGCAGUGGCACCCUGAGGUGCCUUGAAUGAUGGUCAGGGCGCCAUGGGCAACGCUGGCCUCUGCCCCUUUCCUUCCCUCCUUACUCUGAUGCCCUCUCACAUCUCUGCCUCCCAAAGGCUUGCACAGCUGUUUGUUGCAACAGCCCUGGGUACAAGCUCCCCAGGUGAAUGGUGCCUCUGGGGCUGGCCAGGGGGUGAUUCCCAGGCUCCUGUGGGACAGUGUGAGGAGGCACCUCUUUUUGUGGCAUGGAAGGGGGUGGAAGCUCAGAGACCAGGGGUAGAAGCGGCUGUUGCCCAGAGGAUUCCCAGUGAGAGGGGUGAGGAGAGGAGGCUGAGGGAACACACUAAAAAGGAAGGUGUUUGAAAAGAGUUGUAGGGCGGCCAGCUCAGCCGGCAAGAGGUGACAUAGAUGGGCUCCUGAGUCCCACAGGGGUGCCACAGGAAGAACGUAGCUGGUCAAGGGAGUUGUGGACUCAAAAAGAUUGAAAACCUCUGCUUUAGGACAUAGGGCAGGUAUGCUGGUCCCAUGGGUAGAUCGAGAGACGAUGUCCUAGUCCAGUCCGAGGUCGAAGGAGCAAUAUGAAGGCAGUGCGUAAAAGCUGAGGCAGGGUGCAGGGCAGGGUUCAGGCAGGAACUGGAGACCAACAAUGUUGCUUCGCAACUUGGGACUGGGGCUGGCUGGCUAUUAUCUGCCCCUAGGCAUAGGGUGGCCCCGGUCCACAGGUGACUCACCUCUCCUGGCCUGGAGGUGAGCACUCCUCCUGCGGGAACUUAGUUCCCUCCACCUCUCUGCCCUGAGCCUCUGCAGCUCAGGAGAGACUGGAGGGUUACCGGACCCAGAAGAAACCUCAGCUUCCUCUGACGGGGCUGAGAGUGGAGCACCUGCAGGCAAUAGGUCCUCAGGAGCCAGAGCAGACUCAGCUGGUGCCUGCACCUGAGGAUCCAGCACAGGUGAGGGCCCUUCAGGCUCAUGCCCCAGCCCCGGCUCAGCUGGUUCGGGAGGCGGGGAAUCCUGUGCAAGCUGGGAUCCCUCAGGUUCAGCAUCCGACUCCGAAUCCCAGGCCAUCACAGCACAUUUGGUGAGAGGUGUAGCCUAGGGAGAAUUCUGACGGCUGGAUAGGAAGUUCAUUUAAGUUUAUUAUGUGACCACCACAGCCUGCAGUUCCCCACCCAUGCUUAAAAUGUUAGUUGCUUUGGACGCAAUAUAUUCUGGGGUUCCUUCUGUCAGUGGCGCAGCUCAGAAGCAUCUUUGGCAAAUGAGUGAAGUAGGGGAAUUUACUCUCUGGAAAGCACCUGGAUCGAGGCUAAGUGCUGAAGCACCUGAAAAGCACCAAAUCCUGGACAGGGACACACUCCACUCCUCCCAAGGAAAAUGACACUUCUUUCGUAAUCGUUGCCGCAGUGGGCUGAACAGAAAAGCCAUCAAAGAAACGGACAAAUGCAUUUUGAACAAACAGGAACCAAAGGGGACGAAACAUAUUCUAACCUAAAAACAAAUGAUGGAAUGCAAUGCAUCUACAUCUCAAUUUCAUCCCAACGCUGAGCAUGGCUGAUCACAAAGCACUUUGAAUGGGCCCAUGUGCCGUGAAGAUUCUCCUGCUUCAAUUCACACCACAGGUGCCAGGUGCCCUGGAGGUCUCUCACAUCCCCUCUUCUGCCCAGAGUUAGAAAAGUGGACCAAUAUCUUCCCCUAAAGGUUAAAUGUGAAAUAGCAGUCAUCCUAUACCUAUAGGCUUUGUAGAACACCCAAACUAAUGGUGUAAUAUGAAUAACGUUCUUUACUGGUGCUCUAUCACCGCUCUUUUAAGGACUUGAGUAAGAAGAAGCUUUUCUAGAAUAUUUUUGGCUGAUGUAGACUCGUUUUUUAAUCUUGGAUAUACAUUUUGUGAUACUGCUCCUAUGUCUUGCCAGUGAUGUCAUCAGGGCAUCAGUAUGAAUCUCGACUUAGUGAUAUUACCAUGUCAUGGACUUCCUAGAGUGAUUUUCUGCUAUCUUAACUAUGUAGCACAUGAGACCACCGUGAGAGUUAUUCCAUAACGCACAGCACUCUGCCUCCAGCGUUGGAAUAAAUUUGCCUCCCAGUAACAGCUGCUUGGAAUCCCCAGUGAAGAGAGUCCCUGUCACUCUCAGGUCCCGCUUGCAAGCAUCCCAUAGUCAUCUGGCUGGCUCUUUGUGAGAACAGCAUGUUGGACUAGAUGGGCCUUUGACCUGAUCCAACAAAUCUCUACUUGUGGUCUUAUAGACCUGCAAACUUUUCAUUUCCCUUUUUGCUUUGGGAGGGAGGGUGGUAUUGAACUGAAAUAGCUAAAUCUGCAAGAUGUAUUGAUCUGUGCAUGGAAAAUAGGGGUUUGUGUGCGAACUCAACCUAGAGAAGGGAUGGGAGGCCAUCUCAUUCCUGUUCCCUUAAUCUCUAGGAUGCAAAGAUUAUUUGGCUGAUGUAGACUGGUUUUUUAAUCUUGGA